GCUAGACACCCGUAACUCACUCACCAAUUUAUUAACCAUUUUUUUUAGUAAGCAAGAUAAAUUUAUUAAUGGAAUGUAUACCGGCAAAACCUGGUCAAGAGUAUAGAAACAGUACAAGCAAGAAAGUACCAUAUGCAACCAUGCAAACUAAGAACCAACUAGGAUUUGAAAAUAGGAAACACAGAAUAUUAAAAUAACAUUAUCUCCAGGCAUACAAUAUUCCAAGGAUAAAACUUGCAUGCAUUUAGGGAUAAGCUUCAAUAAUUGAUACCGGCGCUGGAGUUUUGAUAGUCUUGCAGCUAGCAAAACCUCCUUUCUCCAACAAUUUUUUCCAUUCUGCUUCACUCCUUUCCUUUCCUUGGAAAUAAACCAUCAUUGACAGAUCACGUAUCAAUCGCGCCUUCUCAAACAUUUCAUGUCCUUGUUUGCUUAAGACUUCUCCCACUAUUAUAAGCUUUCCGGUUUUCUCUGGCAAAGCUUCCCGACAAUUUUUCAAGAUUUUGAUGCAAUUUUCGUCAUUCCAAUUAUGCAAUAUCCACUAAUGUAAAGAACAACAGUAUUAAUAGUAGUAGAAGAUGACUAUAAGCUCGAUAUCAUAUGAAAAUGAGUUUAAUAAUUAUUAGAUUAAAUGUUUGAAUCUUUGUAUAUGUAAGUCAUAUUUUAUUUUUUAAUUUAAUGGAAAAUAAUUACUGGUAGCAUGUUAAGGCCAUACUUUAUUUUUUAAUUUAAUGGAAAAUAAUUACUGGUAGCAUGUUAAGGCCAUACUUUAUUUUUUAAUUUAAUGGAAAAUAAUUACUGGUAGUAUGUUAAGGCUCCAUUACCUUCAAGAGAAUGGCAUCAGCUGGAGGAAUGCUUGUAAACAUAUUGCCGGCAACAUGUGUGACGCCCUCAUACUCUGGUGCCGUAGCCACCACAUGUGGAAGAUCGAAGUUGAUUCCUUUAACAUGGGGAUGUGCCUUCACAAUCUCACUCACCAUGGCACCAGUCCCGCCCCCAACAUCCACAAGCGAUCCUACUCCAUUGAACCCAUCUUUAUAGGUGGUCUUCACUGCCUCCACCAUUAUGUUUGAUGCCCCUUCCAUAGACUUGUUAAAUAAGGUGUUGAAUUCAGGAUUGGCUGAUGCAAAAUCAAAUAACUCUAAACCAUGACACCUAGCGAACCCACUGCCACCGUCCUUCACAAUAUCACUAAGGUGAUGCCAACUUGAUAGCAUGCAUGGAUGAUUCUGCAAUAGCAACCAGGGCACAAGACUCGUCUUCGAAUCACGGAGUAGAAAUUUGGAGGAGUUGGUGAGGCCAUAGAGAGUAGUAGUAGCGCUGUGCUCCCCUUCUGGGCUCGCAGGAUUAUUUGAAGUGAAGAUUCCUCUGUGAACCAACAGUUUCAGAACCCGUGAGAGGCGAUCAGCGUCCAGGGAAGCAUGGUUGAUGCUUUUAACAAUGGAAGACAAGGAGAGAGGACACCCAUGAGAGUUUAUUAUAUCAGGAAUGGCUAGCUCAACUACACACUUGAGUGCCAUGCGGCUCACGAAGCCAAAAAUGCAAUCCCAUAUUGCAGCUUGACCUCUGAGCAUUCCCUCUGGAUCUUCUGCUUCUUGCCUUUCCAUUUCUCUCUUCCUUAAUCUCGAACCUGAGAAGAUUGAGAUGGUAUGAGAAUGGUGAUCAGUAGCAGUUACUAAAUUGGGAGAAAAUUAGCUCUCAUUUCAUUGAAUUGAAGUAUGCAAAUGUUCAUUGAAGCAGGUCCCAUGUAUUAUUAUGGGAGAGAGAGAGUACAGCAACACUCAAUAAUCUCUUAUUUACUUACGAGAUCGAAACAGCAGCCAAGGCUUCCUAGGUAAGGUAG
Molecule: unclassified non-coding RNA, 1840 nt
Filed under: Hevea brasiliensis (rubber tree)
Lineage: Eukaryota; Viridiplantae; Streptophyta; Magnoliopsida; Malpighiales; Euphorbiaceae
Source: RNAcentral